Molecule: long non-coding RNA, 141 nt
Organism: Amphibalanus amphitrite
Lineage: Eukaryota; Metazoa; Arthropoda; Thecostraca; Balanomorpha; Balanidae
Exons: 2
Source: RefSeq, a predicted model, not a curated record
GCAGCUGUUUGAGAGAUAUUCUCCUCUGCAGACUCACCCAGCCAGCAGCAUCAUGAAGGUGUUCGUUGCCCUGUUCGCUACCCUGGCGUGCGCCAGCGCCGGCCUGGUCGUGCCGGCCACCACCGUCCUGCGGGCGCCCGC